GAAAGGAACACCAAUGGCGAAGGCAACAUUCUGGACCAAUACUGACACUGAGGGACGAAAGCGUGGGGAUCAAACAGGAUUAGAUACCCUGGUAGUCCACGCUGUAAACGAUGAGUACUAGCUGUUGGAUUCGGUGUAAAGGAUCUAGUGGCGUAGCUAACGCGUUAAGUACUCCGCCUGGGGACUACGGCCGCAAGGCUAAAACUCAAAGGAAUUGACGGGGACCCGCACAAGCGGUGGAGCAUGUGGUUUAAUUCGAUGCAACGCGAAGAACCUUACCUGGUCUUGACAUCCUGCGAACUUUCUAGAGAUAGAUUGGUGCCUUCGGGAACGCAGUGACAGGUGCUGCACGGCUGUCGUCAGCUCGUGUUGUGAAAUGUUGGGUUAAGUCCCGCAACGAGCGCAACCCCUAUUGAUAGUUACCAUCAUUAAGUUGGGUACUCUAUUGAGACUGCCGCUGACAAGGCGGAGGAAGGUGGGGACGACGUCAAGUCAUCAUGGCCCUUACGACCAGGGCUACACACGUGCUACAAUGGGUAUUACAGAGGGCAGCGAAGUAGCGAUAUGGAGCGAAACUCAGAAAGGUACUCUUAGUCCGGAUUGCAGUCUGCAACUCGACUGCAUGAAGUCGGAAUCGCUAGUAAUCGCAGGUCAGAAUACUGCGGUGAAUACGUUCCCGGGUCUUGUACACACCGCCCGUCACACCAUGGGAGUGGGUUGCUCCAGAGAGUAGAUAGCU
Molecule: ribosomal RNA, 739 nt
Filed under: uncultured bacterium
Lineage: Bacteria
Description: bacterial SSU rRNA
Rfam family: Bacterial small subunit ribosomal RNA
Source: RNAcentral